UUCAUAGAAUGUGGGUGUGAGCCGGAGGGAUGCAGGGCCGCGAUUGGUAUUCUUCUGCCGAGCAGAAAGGCUGAGAAAAUGGUGUUUAGCGAGUUUGUUAUGAAGGAAGGAAUAAAAAGAGAAGCUGUCUACAAGGUUCACGGUAUUCACCCAGGAUACCGCAUGGGCUCAUGCGCGUGCGCAUAGGAAAGACUACGCUUGGUGUAAGGGACAGCCUCUUUGUCGCGUUUCAACCAAUCUAAUUGCGCCAGGGGUUGGCCCUGACGCUCACUGGCCAGCGCUGCUUCCGCGUUGGGUUGCGUCCCACGGUAACUGUGCGCGGGAGUCGUUUUGGUUGGCGCCAUGGGAUCGGGACUGAUCCCGUGCUUAGCCCCGCGCCUCGGACUUUCGGAACCUGAGGUGCUGAGGAAAGCAGAAGAGUACCUGCGACUAUCCCAGGUGAAAUGUAUCAGUCUGUCUGCACAUACUACAGAAACCAGCAAUGCAGUCAUGUGCCUAGACCUUGCAGCUUCCUAUAUGAAGUACCCCUUGGACAGGGCUUAUUUAAUUAAACUUUCUGGUUUGAACAAGAAGAUGUACCAGAGCUAUCUUAAAUCUUUUGAGUGUUUACUGGGCCUGAACUCAAAUAUUGGAAUAAGAGACCUCAGUGUACAGUUUAGCUGUACAGAAGCAGUGAACAUGGCUUCAAAGAUUCUACAAAGCUAUGAAGCCAGUCUUCCCCAGACACAGCAAGUAGAUCUUGACUUAUCCAGGCCUCUGUUCACCACUGCUGCACUACUUUCAGCAUGCAAGAUUCUAAAGCUGAAAGUGGAUAAAAACAAAAUGGCAGCCACUUCGGGUGUAAAGAAAGCUAUAUUUGAUCGACUGUGUAAACAGUUAGAGAAGAUUGGACAGCAGAUGGACAAGGCACCUGGAGACUUAGGUAGUCCACCAAGGAAGAAAAAGAAGAUGGUUGAACCACCAGCUACGGAAAUAGAGAAGGUAGAAGACAUCCAACGUAAACUACAAAAAGAUGAAGAUCUGACACAAGAUUAUGAAGAAUGGAAAAGGAAAAUUUUAGAAAAUGCUGCCAAGGCUCAAAAGACAACAGCAGAGUGACUUCUGCUUCCAGAUUGGUAUCUGCUUCUGUUAGAUAGUAAACCGUUCUCCAGAAAGAUUUGAGGGCUUUGAUGAAAUUGGUUUGAACUUUCAGAACAAGGUUGCUCACCAUUGCCUUAGUAGCAAAGAAACCAGAGCACAGACAAAUUCUGGACAGUGGACUGGCUUUUGACAUGAGAACAUGUGGACUGGCUUUUGACAUGAGAACAUUACAUCAAUCACAGUGUCUUACAUACUCUUGACUCCACAAGUCUAUGCUGGAAUUGCAAGUCAUAUUUUCUGUUUUAAACUAAUGACAAUCUGGUUUUAUCCUGAAUAUAUAUUUUAGGCUGAAUGGAAUCUUACAGGUUUUACUUACUUUUUUUCAGUAAACUUUUUUGGUUUACCUCAAUAUAUUGCAGUCAAAGCUAGUAAUUUUUUUUAAUUAAAAAUGCAUUUUCUGUCAGCUUCAAGGAAUCGUUGGGCCAAAAUCUGUGUCUUCACCAGCAGGAAAAAAAAACCAGAUUUCUGUACAUUGAGCUUCAAUGCUCACUAUAUGACAAUUCAAAUCAUACUUUCUGGGUUGAAGACCAUACUCAGCCACUCACCACAUGUGAAACAUUGAUCAAAGCAAUUCACUUUAUGAUUCAUCUGUGAAAUAGUAAUAAUGAUUAUUACCUCAGUAUAAUUUUAAGGAGUGUAAAAGCCAAUACAUGAAAACCAUUUCCUGUGAAAGUAAAUACUGAGUAAACAUUAAAGUAUAGAAAUGUUAUUUGUGAAAUAUGGCAGUAAAAUCCCUUUAAACACUUUUUAACAUA
This is an RNA transcript of Dipodomys ordii (Ord's kangaroo rat), 1895 nucleotides long. It is a transcript of the gene named origin recognition complex, subunit 6, with no coding region annotated. The record is from RefSeq and is a predicted model, not a curated record. Lineage: Eukaryota; Metazoa; Chordata; Mammalia; Rodentia; Heteromyidae. The transcript is spliced from 8 exons.